GAGCGUUGUCCGGAUUAAUUGGGCGUAAAGAGCUCGUAGGUGGUUGGUUGCGUCGGAAGUGAAAACUGGGGCUUAACCCUGAGCGUGCUUUCGAUACGGGUUGACUUGAGGAAGGUAGGGGAGAAUGGAAUUCCUGGUGGAGCGGUGGAAUGCGCAGAUAUCAGGAGGAACACCAGUGGCGAAGGCGGUUCUCUGGACCUUUCCUGACGCUGAGGAGCGAAAGCGUGGGGAGCGAACAGGCUUAGAUACCCUGGUAGUCCACGCUGUAAACGGUGGGUAUUAGGUGUGGGGUCCAUUCCACGGAUUCCGUGCCGUAGCUAACGCAUUAAGUACCCCGCCUGGGGAGUACGGCCGCAAGGCUAAAACUCAAAGGAAUUGACGGGGCCCCGCACAAGCGGCGGAGCAUGCGGAUUAAUUCGAUGCAACGCGAAGAACCUUACCUGGGUUUGACAUGGACUGGGAGUGCUCAGAGAUGGGUAUGCCUCCUUGUGGGGCUGGUUCACAGGUGGUGCAUGGCUGUCGUCAGCUCGUGUCGUGAGAUGUUGGGUUAAGUCCCGCAACGAGCGCAACCCUCGUUCACUGUUGCCAGCACGUUAUGGUGGGGACUCAGUGGAGACCGCCGGGGUCAACUCGGAGGAAGGUGGGGAUGACGUCAAGUCAUCAUGCCCCUUAUGUCCAGGGCUUCACGCAUGCUACAAUGGCCGGUACAAAGAGUUGCGAGCCUGUGAGGGUGAGCGAAUCUCGGAAAGCCGGUCUCAGUUCGGAUUGGGGUCUGCAACUCGACCCUAUGAAGUCGGAGUCGCUAGUAAUCGCAGAUCAGCAAC
RNAcentral lists this ribosomal RNA (824 nucleotides) under uncultured Actinomycetes bacterium. RNAcentral's name for it is "bacterial SSU rRNA". It matches the Rfam family "Bacterial small subunit ribosomal RNA", at positions 536 to 1356 of the family's 1533-position model. Lineage: Bacteria; Bacillati; Actinomycetota; Actinomycetes. The record is from RNAcentral.